This 791-nucleotide ribosomal RNA is filed under the name uncultured bacterium. Its description in RNAcentral is "bacterial SSU rRNA". It matches the Rfam family "Bacterial small subunit ribosomal RNA", at positions 8 to 796 of the family's 1533-position model. The record is from RNAcentral.
AGAGUUUGAUCAUGGCUCAGAUUGAACGCUGGCGGAAUGCUUUACACAUGCAAGUCGAGCGGCAGCGCGGGGGCAACCCUGGCGGCGAGCGGCGAACGGGUGAGUAAUACAUCGGAACAUGUCCAGUUGUGGGGGAUAGCCCGGCGAAAGCCGGAUUAAUACCGCAUGAGCUCUGGCGAGGAAAGCGGGGGACCGAAAGGCCUCGCGCGACUGGGUUGGCCGAUGUCCGAUUAGCUAGUUGGUGGGGUAAAGGCCUACCAAGGCGACGAUCGGUAGCUGGUCUGAGAGGAUGAUCAGCCACACUGGGACUGAGACACGGCCCAGACUCCUACGGGAGGCAGCAGUGGGGAAUUUUGGACAAUGGGGGCAACCCUGAUCCAGCCAUUCCGCGUGAGUGAAGAAGGCCUUCGGGUUGUAAAGCUCUUUUGUCCGGAGCGAAACGGUUGUGGUGAAUAUCCACGACUACUGACGGUACCGGAAGAAUAAGCACCGGCUAACUACGUGCCAGCAGCCGCGGUAAUACGUAGGGUGCGAGCGUUAAUCGGAAUUACUGGGCGUAAAGCGUGCGCAGGCGGGCUUUUAAGCCAGACGUGAAAUCCCCGGGCUUAACCUGGGAAUGGCGUUUGGGACUGGGAGUCUGGAGUGCGGCAGAGGAGACUGGAAUUCCUGGUAGCAGUGAAAUGCGUAGAUAUCAGGAGGAACACCGACGGCGAAGGCAGGUCUCUGGGCUGACACUGACGCUCAUGCACGAAAGCGUGGGGAGCAAACAGGAUUAGAUACCCUAGUAGUCC